Molecule: ribosomal RNA, 348 nt
Filed under: uncultured bacterium
Lineage: Bacteria
Description: bacterial SSU rRNA
Rfam family: Bacterial small subunit ribosomal RNA
Source: RNAcentral
AACGAACGCUGGCGGCAUGCCUAACACAUGCAAGUCGAACGAAGUCUUCGGACUUAGUGGCGCACGGGUGCGUAACGCGUGGGAAUCUGCCCUUGGGUGCGGAAUAACUUCUCGAAAGGGAUGCUAAUACCGCAUAAUGUCGUAAGACCAAAGAUUUAUCGCCCAAGGAUGAGCCCGCGUAAGAUUAGCUAGUUGGUGGGGUAAAAGCCUACCAAGGCGACGAUCUUUAGCUGGUCUGAGAGGAUGAUCAGCCACACUGGGACUGAGACACGGCCCAGACUCCUACGGGAGGCAACAGUGGGGAAUAUUGGACAAUGGGCGAAAGCCUGAUCCAGCAAUGCCGCGUGA